GCCGGGGUGGCGGAAUGGUAGACGCGCAGGACUUAAAAUCCUGUGUCCGCAAGGACGUGUGGGUUCGACUCCCACCUUCGGCACCG
Molecule: transfer RNA, 86 nt
Filed under: Candidatus Amesiibacteriota bacterium
Lineage: Bacteria; Candidatus Amesiibacteriota
Description: Candidatus Amesbacteria bacterium (hot springs metagenome) tRNA-Leu
Rfam family: tRNA
About the family: Transfer RNA (tRNA) molecules are approximately 80 nucleotides in length. Their secondary structure includes four short double-helical elements and three loops (D, anti-codon, and T loops). Further hydrogen bonds mediate the characteristic L-shaped molecular structure. tRNAs have two regions of fundamental functional importance: the anti-codon, which is responsible for specific mRNA codon recognition, and the 3' end, to which the tRNAs corresponding amino acid is attached (by aminoacyl-tRNA synthetases). tRNAs cope with the degeneracy of the genetic code in two manners: having more than one tRNA (with a specific anti-codon) for a particular amino acid; and 'wobble' base-pairing, i.e. permitting non-standard base-pairing at the 3rd anti-codon position.
Source: RNAcentral